This 274-nucleotide ribosomal RNA is filed under the name uncultured bacterium. RNAcentral describes it as "partial 16S ribosomal RNA". It matches the Rfam family "Bacterial small subunit ribosomal RNA", at positions 523 to 796 of the family's 1533-position model. The record is from RNAcentral.
AUACGGAGGGUGCAAGCGUUAUCCGGAAUCAUUGGGUUUAAAGGGUCCGCAGGCGGAUUAAUAAGUCAGUGGUGAAAUCCUCUCGCUCAACGAGAGAACUGCCAUUGAAACUGUUAGUCUUGAAUUCGGUCGAAGUAGGCGGAAUGUGUCAUGUAGCGGUGAAAUGCAUAGAUAUGACACAGAACACCGAUAGCGAAGGCCGCUUACUAGACCUGGAUUGACGCUCAUGGACGAAAGCGUGGGGAGCGAACAGGAUUAGAAACCCUAGUAGUCC